This 279-nucleotide ribosomal RNA is filed under the name uncultured bacterium. Its description in RNAcentral is "partial 16S ribosomal RNA". It matches the Rfam family "Bacterial small subunit ribosomal RNA", at positions 506 to 784 of the family's 1533-position model. The record is from RNAcentral.
UGCCAGCCGCCGCGGUAACACGGGGGGCGCAAGCGUUAUUCGGAAUUAUUGGGCGUAAAGGGCGCGCAGGCGGUCUUGUCCGUCAGGUGUGAAAGCUCGGGGCUCAACCCCGGAAGUGCAUGGAAUACUGGACAUCUAGAAUACAGUAGAGGGUAGUGGAAUUUCAGGUGUAGCGGUGAAAUGCGUAGAGAUCUGAAGGAACAUCAGUGGCGAAGGCGACUACCUGGACUGAUAUUGACGCUGAGGUGCGAAAGCGUGGGGAGCAAACAGGAUUAGAUA